GAAACCUCAUUCUUAUCCUCGGCCAUGGCUUCCUCUGUUCUCGCCGCCGCCAAGCCUCUCCUCCACCCUUCUCAUCCUCGUACUCCUCCUCCAUCUCGUGGCGCAGGUGGCCCUUCCCUCCGCCGGAGCCUCUCGGCCUCGCGUAGGAGCGCCGCGCUCAGGGUUCACGCCCUCAAAUGUGAACCGUCCAAGAUAGCUCCGCAAGCCGAUCGGGUACUCGUUCGUCUCGAGGAGCUCCCCGAGAAAUCUGCUGGUGGAGUACUACUUCCAAAGUCAGCUGUUAAGUUUGAACGGUAUCUAAUGGGUGAGAUUCUGUCUGUUGGCUCUGAUGUCACUGAGGUGGAAGCUGGGAAGAAGGUUCUUUUCUCAGACAUUAAUGCAUAUGAGGUGGACUUGGGGACGGACACGAAGCACUGUUUUUGCAAAGCCAGUGAUCUGCUAGCUGUUGUCGAGUAGAUAUCUAGUAAAUUUAUCAUGUUUGGUCUUCUUAGGUCUGCACGGUGAUCUAAGUUGAACUUCCUCAAAUUUUAUGUCUGCAUGAGAUUCUACCUGGAAUCCAGGUCAAUUAGUGGAUGUUCGAUGAAAGAUUACUUGCACAUGAAUAUAUUUUCUGAUAACGUUCACAAUCACAAGUAAAUGAUCAACAUAACAUUUGCAGGUGCAGUCUUUUUCUUCUUGGGUAACCUAGCCUUAGGAGUAUAAUGUUUGGAGAAGAACAGGUAUAUGUCUGUCCACUUCUUUGGGUAACCUAGCUUACAAGUGACAUACUGUUGCGGCAUUGUCAUGUUAGAUUGCAUGUAUAUGAUUUAGGGAAAAACCCUCCAUUUGUUUU
Musa acuminata AAA Group (dessert banana) is the source of this 832-nucleotide RNA transcript. It is a transcript of the gene named 10 kDa chaperonin 1, chloroplastic, with no coding region annotated. The transcript is spliced from 7 exons. The record is from RefSeq and is a predicted model, not a curated record. Lineage: Eukaryota; Viridiplantae; Streptophyta; Magnoliopsida; Zingiberales; Musaceae.